CCUACGGGAGGCAGCAGUGAGGAAUAUUGGUCAAUGGGCGCAAGCCUGAACCAGCCAAGUCGCGUGAGGGAUGACGGUCCUAUGGAUUGUAAACCUCUUUUGUCGGGGAGCAAGGCCCGCCACGUGUGGCGGGAAGGAGAGUACCCGAAGAAAAAGCAUCGGCUAACUCCGUGCCAGCAGCCGCGGUAAUACGGAGGUUGCGAGCGUUAUACGGAUUUAUUGGGUUUAAAGGGUGCGUAGGCGGAAGGUUAAGUCAGCGGUAAAAUGUCGGUGCUCAACACCGGCCUGCCGUUGAAACUGGUCUUCUUGAGUGAGCGAGAAGUAUGCGGAAUGCGUGGUGUAGCGGUGAAAUGCAUAGAUAUCACGCAGAACUCCGAUUGCGAAGGCAGCAUACCGGCGCUCAACUGACGCUGAGGCACGAAAGCGUGGGGAUCGAACAGGAUUAGAUACCCUGGUAGUC
This 460-nucleotide ribosomal RNA is filed under the name uncultured bacterium. Its description in RNAcentral is "partial 16S ribosomal RNA". It matches the Rfam family "Bacterial small subunit ribosomal RNA", at positions 338 to 795 of the family's 1533-position model. The record is from RNAcentral.